This 429-nucleotide ribosomal RNA is filed under the name Gemmatimonadota bacterium. RNAcentral describes it as "Gemmatimonadetes bacterium partial 16S ribosomal RNA". It matches the Rfam family "Bacterial small subunit ribosomal RNA", at positions 355 to 776 of the family's 1533-position model. The record is from RNAcentral. Lineage: Bacteria; Pseudomonadati; Gemmatimonadota.
UAGGGAAUCUUCGGCAAUGGACGAAAGUCUGACCGAGCAACGCCGCGUGAGUGAAGAAGGUUUUCGGAUCGUAAAACUCUUUUGUUAGAGAAGAACAAGGACGGUAGUAACUGAACGUCCCCUGACGGUAUCUAACCAGAAAGCCACGGCUAACUACGUGCCAGCAGCCGCGGUAAUACGUAGGGGGCAAGCGUUGUCCGGAUUUAUUGGGCGUAAAGCGAGCGCAGGCGGUUUCGUAAGUCUGAUGUGAAAGCCCCCGGCUCAACCGGGGAGGGUCAUUGGAAACUGGGAGACUUGAGUGUAGAAGAGGAGAGUGGAAUUCCAUGUGUAGCGGUGAAAUGCGUAGAUAUAUGGAGGAACACCAGUGGCGAAGGCGGCUCUCUGGUCUGUAACUGACGCUGAGGCUCGAAAGCGUGGGGAGCAAACAGG